Non-coding RNA from Microcebus murinus (gray mouse lemur), 555 nucleotides. Lineage: Eukaryota; Metazoa; Chordata; Mammalia; Primates; Cheirogaleidae. The record is from RefSeq and is a predicted model, not a curated record.
GUCCAUGUCCGGAAGAGCAGCUUCCUACUUCCGCUCCCUCUGCCCUCUCCCCUCCUCCGCCUCCCCCUUCAGACAUCCCUGCCCAGGGUUUUCCUCUUCUCCUCCGCUCGGGCCUUCUGGGCGAGUCUGAUGCGGAAACGUCCUGGACAGGUGUGCUUUCAGGAAGGUUUGGAAGGAAGGGAAGGAAUGCCGCUAAGUCACUGGGGGUUGGUUCCAGCAAUUCUUUCCAAGGUGGAGAGAGACCCAGUGUUGGGGGCCCCCAAGACAGAGGCGGAGACUAACUGAGGAAACUGAAGCGCAGAGAAGGGAAGACAUUUGUCCUGGUGGCAAGUGUGAGAGCCCCAAACAGAGGCAAGAAGAAGACCCCAAGGUGCUGAGGCUGGGUAGGCAGAGAAGCGCACCGGUGUCAUUACUCUGCAUUGUGGGACCCCUGCUGGCAAUCAGAGUCAUACCAGACACUAGCGGGGCACAGCCAUUUCAUUUAUGUAACAAAUAUUCAGGUACUGUUGUAAGUGUGUGGACAGUUACAAGCUCAUGUAAUCCUCACGAUCACCC